UCCAGCAGAGAUAAGAAAAACAGGAAAAGAGAAGAAGUAGAGAAAAAAAGAAGAAAGAAAGGAAAGGAGAGAAGGAAAGAAAAAGAGGAAAAGAAAGAGAGCAAGGGAAGUUCUGAACUUCAUUUGCAUGGAGAAUCAAUCAAUUUUGCAUAGAAAAUGAGAGCUUAUGGAGAAAUUAUUUUUAUGAGCAUCCUUAAUUAUUGGAUCAUUCUCAAAUAAGGUAUACAUUAUUUUUAUGAAUUUUUGAAGUUUAUUAGCUUAUUUUAGAUUUUUAGUUUUAUUGAAGUUUAAUAAAUUCAAAAAUAUGCUUUUGGAUAUUUGAGUGCUAGAAAUAUAUAAAAAGAGAAUUUUUUUAUUGGUAAA
Molecule: long non-coding RNA, 363 nt
Organism: Hevea brasiliensis (rubber tree)
Lineage: Eukaryota; Viridiplantae; Streptophyta; Magnoliopsida; Malpighiales; Euphorbiaceae
Exons: 2
Source: RefSeq, a predicted model, not a curated record